This 1371-nucleotide long non-coding RNA is filed under the name Salmo salar (Atlantic salmon). Its description in RNAcentral is "lncRNA (ENSSSAG00000107539.1, ENSSSAG00020073561.1)". Lineage: Eukaryota; Metazoa; Chordata; Actinopteri; Salmoniformes; Salmonidae. The record is from RNAcentral.
AUCGCUGCCAAAGGUGCUUCAACAAAGUACUGAGUAAAGGUUCUGAAUAUGUUAAUGUAAAUGUGAUAUUUAAUCUUUAAAUUUUUUAUAUGUUUGCUAAAAUUUCAAAAAACAUGUUUUUUCUUUGUCAUUAUGGGGUAUUGUGUGUAGAUUGAUGAGAAUUAGGCUGUAACGUAACAUAAUGUGGAAAAAGUAAAGGGGUCUGAAUACUUUCCAAAUGCACUGUAUAUCAGAGUUCUGCCAUCUUCAUGCACAUUUGCCAUUGGGGAGUUUUGUCUUCCUGAUAGGAUUCAGUCUAGUGAUGGCCUUGGCCUACAAAGCAAUGAAAAGAAGAGGCCACUGCAACACUACUAAAGAAAUGAAAAAGACUUGCAAUCUGCCAGCACAUAAACUGCCAUCAUCGGAAGUUGAAUGCCAUUAUGCCCUGUGUGACUCCUGCUCAUCUAUCGUUGGUUAAGUUGUGAACACAGCGCAGGCUUUAUGUAACCCCUCAUUUUCCAUCGGGUGGGGAGACCAACUGCAGUAAGUUAUUGUUACUGAGUGAGAAAUUCAAUCUCCAAGGACAAGGACACAAUUCUUGGUGGCUUCCCUGACCAUACAAUCGGUGGAUAUGGAACGAGUAGAUUCCCCUCUGUUCUGAAGGCGGUACAUUGUGGGCAUCAACUUCAGAUGGCUAGAUAAAGAUUAUGUAAGCUUUUUAAAAUCUUGGUGUCUUAUUUGCUCUUGAAAAUUGCAGGCUCCUUUGAUGCCGGCCCUAAACAGAUAGAGGAUUCUGUGAAAACAGCACACAGGAUGCAGAACCGUAACAACCCAUAUGCCGAAGACACAACUUAUAAUCAUCAUCUUUAACAACAACAUCACAAGCAAGAGCUGACGCAAUAGAACAACACGAAGGGAAACUGUCUUGACAGAAGAAAAUGUAUCUUAAUACACUUAUAUACCAAAAACUAGAGGUUUGCUGCAGAUGUUCCGGUGAACAGGUUCUAUCCUGGGACAUAUACCGUGAUGUAACUCCUCAAAACUGAAAUAUCCGCUGUGAAGUACACUUCCUAAGCACGUUUUAAGUUAGUCAUGAAAGGCAUUCCACUUCCCCAAGGAUGUUUCUAUGAUGGAAUUAUGUAUGUUUUUCAUUUUUGAAUAUUUCGAAUUUCUAUUGACAGUAUGAACUCAAUUUUCUUGUGUCAAAGUAAUGUUGAUAGACUACUCAUUUUGAAUGGCACAUCUUUAUUGAAACACAAAGCAGCUGAAAAUUACUUUGACAGACAUUUGCUGAUGAUACACGUCAAGAGAUGUGUUUAGGAUCCUCUCUUCCUGAAGUAAAGUUGUAUACCUCAGACGUCUCUUUAAUUAAAGUUCACUGCUGCUUUUCAA